GUUCAUAAAAGCUGAAAAAUUAUUGGAUUGAGAGUCAUACUCAAUCCAAGUAUAGAAAAUUUGUCCAUUAGUGAUAGGUAGAAAUUGAUCACUAAUAGGAACAAAUAUUAGUGGUUCGAAAGUGUUAUUGAUACUAACACUAAGAUGAGAUACCAUAUUUUGGUCCUCACCUACGGUGGUAUCAAUAACAAAUGCUAAGAAACUCUUUGGUAGUCU
This 216-nucleotide long non-coding RNA is filed under the name Trifolium pratense (red clover). Its description in RNAcentral is "long non-coding RNA (TPRA_LNC000358)". The record is from RNAcentral. Lineage: Eukaryota; Viridiplantae; Streptophyta; Magnoliopsida; Fabales; Fabaceae.